GAUGAACGCUGGCGGCGUGCCUAAUACAUGCAAGUCGAGCGAACAGACGAGGAGCUUGCUCCUCUGACGUUAGCGGCGGACGGGUGAGUAACACGUGGAUAACCUACCUAUAAGACUGGGAUAACUUCGGGAAACCGGAGCUAAUACCGGAUAAUAUAUUGAACCGCAUGGUUCAAUAGUGAAAGACGGUUUUGCUGUCACUUAUAGAUGGAUCCGCGCCGCAUUAGCUAGUUGGUAAGGUAACGGCUUACCAAGGCAACGAUGCGUAGCCGACCUGAGAGGGUGGUCGGCCACACGGGAACUGAGACACGGUCCAGACUCCUACGGGAGGGAGCAGUAGGGAAUCGUCCGCAAUGGGCGAAAGCCUGACGGAGCAACGCCGCGUGAGUGAUGAAGGUCUUAGGAUCGUAAAACUCUGUUAUUAGGGAAGAACAAAUGUGUAAGUGACUAUGCACGGCUUGACGGUACCUAAUCAGAAAGCCACGGCUAACUACGUG
This 497-nucleotide ribosomal RNA is filed under the name uncultured bacterium. Its description in RNAcentral is "partial 16S ribosomal RNA". It matches the Rfam family "Bacterial small subunit ribosomal RNA", at positions 28 to 507 of the family's 1533-position model. The record is from RNAcentral.